ACCGGUUCCGGAGGGACC
This 18-nucleotide small nuclear RNA is filed under the name Arabidopsis thaliana (thale cress). RNAcentral describes it as "snRNA_05604". The record is from RNAcentral. Lineage: Eukaryota; Viridiplantae; Streptophyta; Magnoliopsida; Brassicales; Brassicaceae.